GACGAACGCUGGCGGCGUGCUUAACACAUGCAAGUCGAACGGAAAGGCCCUGCUUUUGUGGGGUGCUCGAGUGGCGAACGGGUGAGUAACACGUGAGUAACCUGCUCUUGACUUUCGGGUAACUUCAGGAAACUGGGGCUAAUACCGGAUAGGAGCCCCUGCUGCAUGGUGGGGGUUGGAUAGUUUCGGCGGUUGGGGAUGGACUCGCGGCUUAUCAGCUUGUUGGUGGGGUAGUGGCUUACCAAGGCUUUGACGGGUAGCCGGCCUGAGAGGGUGACCGGCCACAUUGGGACUGAGAGACGGCCCAGACUCCUACGGGAGGCAGCAGUGGGGAAUAUUGCACAACGAGCGGAAGCCUGAUGCAGCAACGCCGCGGGCGGGAUGACGGCCUGCGGGUUGUAAACCGCUUUCGCCUGUGACGAAGCGGGAGUGACGGUAAUGGGUAAAGAAGCACCGGCUAACUACGUG
RNAcentral lists this ribosomal RNA (468 nucleotides) under uncultured bacterium. RNAcentral describes it as "partial 16S ribosomal RNA". It matches the Rfam family "Bacterial small subunit ribosomal RNA", at positions 28 to 507 of the family's 1533-position model. The record is from RNAcentral.